GGAAGGGUGGCUGAGAGGCCGAAAGCAGCACACUGCUAAUGUGUUGAGCUCGAAAGGGCUCCGUGGGUUCGAAUCCCACCCCUUCCG
Molecule: non-coding RNA, 87 nt
Organism: Candidatus Portnoybacteria bacterium RBG_19FT_COMBO_36_7
Lineage: Bacteria; Candidatus Portnoyibacteriota
Source: Rfam